This is a long non-coding RNA of Ailuropoda melanoleuca (giant panda), 359 nucleotides long. RefSeq lists it as uncharacterized. The record is from RefSeq and is a predicted model, not a curated record. The transcript has 3 exons. Lineage: Eukaryota; Metazoa; Chordata; Mammalia; Carnivora; Ursidae.
CUCCAAGCUCAUUUAAAGCCUUAAAAUUCCUCAAAGGCUCCAUUUAUCUUUUAGAAGAGCAUUGGAGACAACACAGCAUCCAUCUUUUUGGAACCUGACUCUAAGCUCCGGUGCCUCCUGUCCUUGAUUACAGUGGCCUCUAACCCGUGGCUCAUCCAAAUCCCUCACGGCUCAGGCCCCGUGACCCCUGCUGCCUCCUGUGCGGGCCUUUGGUGGCUCUGCUUUUCUCCAGCUUUACCACCACCAGAAGAACAUUCCAAGCUGCAAGGAGAAUGAGAUGUCCCACAAUACCUCACCCUAAGGUAAUUGUUUGAUUUUGCUUCCUGCCAUUGUCUGUACAGAUCUAUAGUUGCAAAAAU